GGGGCCUUAGCUCAGUUGGCAGAGCACCGGCUUUGCAAGCCGGGUGUCAGGGGUUCGAAUCCCCUAGGCUCCA
RNAcentral lists this transfer RNA (73 nucleotides) under Thermomonospora echinospora. RNAcentral describes it as "Actinomadura echinospora tRNA". It matches the Rfam family "tRNA". From Rfam's summary of the family: Transfer RNA (tRNA) molecules are approximately 80 nucleotides in length. Their secondary structure includes four short double-helical elements and three loops (D, anti-codon, and T loops). RNAcentral also lists the same sequence under 3 other names. The record is from Rfam by way of RNAcentral. Lineage: Bacteria; Bacillati; Actinomycetota; Actinomycetes; Streptosporangiales; Thermomonosporaceae.